This 468-nucleotide ribosomal RNA is filed under the name uncultured bacterium. Its description in RNAcentral is "partial 16S ribosomal RNA". It matches the Rfam family "Bacterial small subunit ribosomal RNA", at positions 28 to 507 of the family's 1533-position model. The record is from RNAcentral.
GACGAACGCUGGCGGCGUGCUUAACACAUGCAAGUCGAACGGAAAGGCCCUGCUUUUGUGGGGUGCCCGAGUGGCGAACGGGUGAGUAACACGUGAGUAACCUGCCCUUGACUUUGGGAUAACUUCAGGAAACUGGGGCUAAUACCGGAUAGGAGCUCCCGCUGCAUGGUGGGGGUUGGAAAGUUUCGGCGGUUGGGGAUGGACUCGCGGCUUAUCAGCUUGUUGGUGGGGUAGUGGGUUACCAAGCAUUUGACGGGUAGCCCGCCUGAGAGGGUGGCCGGCGACAUUGGGACUGAGGUACGGCGCAGACGGCUACGGGAGGCAGCGGCGGGGAAUAUUGCACAGUGAGCGGAAGCGUGAUGCAGCAACGCCGGGUGCGGGAUGACGGCCUUCGGGUUGUAAACCGCUUUCGCCUGUGACGAAGCGGGAGUGACGGUAAUGGGUAAAGAAGCACCGGCUAACUACGUG